Molecule: ribosomal RNA, 236 nt
Filed under: uncultured bacterium
Lineage: Bacteria
Description: partial small subunit ribosomal RNA
Rfam family: Bacterial small subunit ribosomal RNA
Source: RNAcentral
AGAGCGAACGCUGGCGGCAGGCCUAACACAUGCAAGUCGAGCGCCCGUAGCAAUACGGGAGCGGCAGACGGGAUAGUAACACGUGGGAACGCGCCCUUCGGUUCGGAAUAACUCAGGGAAACUUGAGCUAAUACCGGAUACGCCCUUACGGGGAAAGAUUUAUUGCCGAAGGAACGGCCCGCGUCCGAUUAGCUAGUUGGUGAGGUAAUGGCUCACCAAGGCGACGACGGGUAGCC